UCCCAGGGGGGACGGGGGGGACACGACCCCCCCAUCCUGGGGAAAAUAUGAUUUGUCCCCCCCAAUAUAUCACUGUAAACAUAACUAUGUAAUUUCAAUAAUAUUAAUAAUACGCAAUGAAAGCACUUGUACUGAUUAUAGACACUUAAUAGCGCGUUUUUAAAUUUCACAAGAUUGCGACCCCCCCGCCCUUUGCCUCACAAUGGUUUGAUCCACUGCCAGUUCUUUAGCUGGCAAGGUAAUAGAGGGCUCGUAUCUACUGUCCGAAAGGCACUCAAUGUACGUAACUGACGUGAGGCAGAGCAGGCAACAGAUGGCACACAGACAGCAGAGCUGGGGACAGAUAUGCAGGGACAGACUGGCAGAGACAGGGAGUCUCAGGAGACAGACUGUGAGUCAGUGAGGGUGGUGAAAGGGAAAGAGCCAAGGAGAGAGACUUGAGGACAGUGUCACAGCCACGGCAGGACCAGGUGUCACCCUUGUUGCCAGCAGCACCAGUAUAGGGGACAGUGGCACAGCAUCGUCCAGUUACCUCAGUGAUGACACAAAACCAUAUCAGCCACACCCACAAUUUAUAGAACCGCAAACUCUUGCAAACGUUUCAAGAGAGAGGAACACUGCACUGAUAAGGAACAUUGCUAUAACUAUUAUUAGUAGUAGUAUUAUAAUGAUUUAAACAAGUUGGGACAACCCUUCAGUUAACUACUGUACCUAACAAUUAUCCAGUAGUAGUGAUUAUGGUCCCUCAAUAUACAUUUAACAUAUUACAACAUAGUCUAUGUGUUACAGCACUACUUUUGGUGUCCCCCUCAGGAAUUGCUCCUGAGAAAAUUUCAUGUAA
Molecule: long non-coding RNA, 841 nt
Organism: Salvelinus fontinalis (brook trout)
Lineage: Eukaryota; Metazoa; Chordata; Actinopteri; Salmoniformes; Salmonidae
Exons: 3
Source: RefSeq, a predicted model, not a curated record